UGGGACUUCGUUUGCUGAGGAGGU
This 24-nucleotide non-coding RNA is filed under the name Mus musculus (house mouse). Lineage: Eukaryota; Metazoa; Chordata; Mammalia; Rodentia; Muridae. The record is from RNAcentral.